AUCGUGCACGUCUAUCAUGCAGUCGACGCUUCUUUCCUCCCGAGUGCUUGCACUCAAUUGGAAAGAGGAGUGGCGGACGGGUGAGUAACACGUGGGUAACCUACCCAUCAGAGGGGGAUAACACUUGGAAACAGGUGCUAAUACCGCAUAACAGUUUAUGCCGCAUGGCAUAAGAGUGAAAGGCGCUUUCGGGUGUCGCUGAUGGAUGGACCCGCGGUGCAUUAGCUAGUUGGUGAGGUAACGGCUCACCAAGGCCACGAUGCAUAGCCGACCUGAGAGGGUGAUCGGCCACACUGGGACUGAGACACGGCCCAGACUCCUACGGGAGGCAGCAGUAGGGAAUCUUCGGCAAUGGACGAAAGUCUGACCGAGCAACGCCGCGUGAGUGAAGAAGGUUUUCGGAUCGUAAAACUCUGUUGUUAGAGAAGAACAAGGACGUUAGUAACUGAACGUCCCCUGACGGUAUCUAACCAGAAAGCCACGGCUAACUACGUGCCAGCAGCCGCGGUAAUACGUAGGUGGCAAGCGUUGUCCGGAUUUAUUGGGCGUAAAGCGAGCGCAGGCGGUUUCUUAAGUCUGAUGUGAAAGCCCCCGGCUCAACCGGGGAGGGUCAUUGGAAACUGGGAGACUUGAGUGCAGAAGAGGAGAGUGGAAUUCCAUGUGUAGCGGUGAAAUGCGUAGAUAUAUGGAGGAACACCAGUGGCGAAGGCGGCUCUCUGGUCUGUAACUGACGCUGAGGCUCGAAAGCGUGGGGAGCAAACAGGAUUAGAUACCCUGGUAGUCCACGCCGUAAACGAUGAGUGCUAAGUGUUGGAGGGUUUCCGCCCUUCAGUGCUGCAGCAAACGCAUUAAGCACUCCGCCUGGGGAGUACGACCGCAAGGUUGAAACUCAAAGGAAUUGACGGGGGCCCGCACAAGCGGUGGAGCAUGUGGUUUAAUUCGAAGCAACGCGAAGAACCUUACCAGGUCUUGACAUCCUUUGACCACUCUAGAGAUAGAGCUUUCCCUUCGGGGAACAAAGUGACAGGUGGUGCAUGGGUUGUCGUCAGCUCGUGUCGUGAGAUGUUGGGUUAAGUCCCGCAACGAGCGCAACCCUUAUUGUUAGUUGCCAUCAUUUAGUUGGGCACUCUAGCGAGACUGGCCGGUGACAACCCGGAGAAGUUGGCGAAUGAACGGUCGAAUUCAAUCAAUGGCCCCUUAUGAACCUGGGGCUAACACACACCACG
RNAcentral lists this ribosomal RNA (1226 nucleotides) under Enterococcus faecalis. RNAcentral's name for it is "bacterial SSU rRNA". It matches the Rfam family "Bacterial small subunit ribosomal RNA", at positions 41 to 1229 of the family's 1533-position model. The record is from RNAcentral. Lineage: Bacteria; Bacillati; Bacillota; Bacilli; Lactobacillales; Enterococcaceae.